Molecule: non-coding RNA, 44 nt
Filed under: Trypanosoma brucei brucei
Lineage: Eukaryota; Euglenozoa; Kinetoplastea; Trypanosomatida; Trypanosomatidae
Source: RNAcentral
AAAUAGUAACACAAUGAGCAGAGUACGUAUAAGAAUGAGUAAAU